CAAUAGCGUAUAUUAAAGUUGUUGCAGUUAAAAAGCUCGUAGUUGGAUUUCUGGUAGGAGUGACCGUUCCGAACUUGAUUGUUCGUGUAUUGUGUUUUCUCCAGCCAUCCUUGUGGAGAACUUUUCUUGCAUUAAUUUGUAGGGAUUGGGACCCGCAUCGUUUACUGUGAAAAAAUUAGAGUGUUUAAAGCGGGCAAUCGCUUGAAUACAUUAGCAUGGAAUAAUAAGAUAGGACUUUGGUACUAUUUUGUCGGUUUGCAUACCAAAUUAAUGAUCAACAGGAACAGUUUGAGGAUAUUCGUAUGAACAUGUCAGAGGUGAAAUUCUUGGAUUUUGAUCAGACGAACUACUGCGAAAGCAUUUAUCAAGGAUGUUUUCAUUAA
RNAcentral lists this ribosomal RNA (383 nucleotides) under uncultured eukaryote. RNAcentral's name for it is "partial 18S ribosomal RNA". It matches the Rfam family "Eukaryotic small subunit ribosomal RNA", at positions 592 to 976 of the family's 1831-position model. The record is from RNAcentral.